Molecule: long non-coding RNA, 1238 nt
Filed under: Heterocephalus glaber (naked mole-rat)
Lineage: Eukaryota; Metazoa; Chordata; Mammalia; Rodentia; Bathyergidae
Description: lncRNA (ENSHGLG00000041859.1)
Source: RNAcentral
GCUGGGGAGCUGGGCCGCAGGGGAGGGGUGGGGCCGGGACCUGCACCCGAGCUGGAGCCUGGAGGCCGGGCCGGACCCUGGAAGAGGUGGGCUGGUGCCCGACCUGCCCGGACGCUGGAGCCCUGGUGCCCUUGCAGCAAGUGUGUCCCCUGGGAUGCGAUUGUCUGCUCUCUGCCCAGCUGUCCCAGCGGACAUGAGUGGGGGCCAGGGGCAGCCUCAACAUGACCCAGCUCAAGGCGCAGUGUACACAGGCAGCCUUGGAGGAUGCACAUGAGCUCCAGCUGCUCCGACUGAGCUGCCCUUUGGACGACGCUAAGCUCCCGGGCAGCAGGGUUGGGCCUGCGCACCUCGGGGCUCGCCGAGCCCGACCAGGCAUCUGGCACAGCAACAGACAUCAGCGGGUCGCCGCCCAACCCGGCCCUGCCUGUCUCCAGCCUCUUCCCCCACCCACUCCAACUCACUCUGGAAGCUCCCUCCUGCCCCCGAGCCUUGACGCACGCUGUUCUCUGCGGGGACACCUGGUCCCAGCCCCACCCCCUGCCCGCUGGGGUUACCCCCUUCCCCACGGAGCCUUCAGCGGCAUCUCCGAUUUCUCCUGCACCCUAACUGACUUAGUGUGUAUGUGCGUGACUCUGAUUCAUGUCUGGCUCAUGCCCAAGAUGUAAACUCUAUGAGGACGUCAGGAAUGCUACUUCCUCCCUCUGCUUGCCCAGCGUUCCACACGACCCCUGGCAGCGAAGCGCACAAAGGAGUGGCCGUGGUGAAUGAAUGAACCCGUCCGUGCCAGCGCCGCCUUAGUACCAGCACCUGACACAGCAGGUGCGAGUGAGCCCUUGUGGAGACGUGAAGACGUGAGCGCAUGCGCGGCCGCCCGGGAUCCGCCUCCUGCAUCCCUGCCGGGAGCUGGGUCCCGAUGUAGUGCGAGGAAUAGUUGUAGGUGACUCUAGGUUCGGAGUGAAGGCCCCUCUCCAGGAGUUGGGCCGGGCUGGGCUGGAGUCCCUCCCUCCCCUCCUCCCGCCCCGCCCCCACAUGCACACACCAAAACAUUAAAAAAAACAUCUCAAAAACUGCAAAAAACACCAUGGCCCUCCCCCUCCCCCUGAAUCCCACCAAAAAAAUAAAACACGUCGCUCGCCAGGGCCCCUCCCCUUCUUCCUCCUCUCCCCGGGGUCCCUGCUUCGGAGGGGGAAGGAAGGGACGGCCCCGCGCCCCGGGCCGGGGGCGCGCGAGGGGCGAAG